This 1158-nucleotide long non-coding RNA is filed under the name Homo sapiens (human). Its description in RNAcentral is "non-protein coding DLX6-AS1:19". Lineage: Eukaryota; Metazoa; Chordata; Mammalia; Primates; Hominidae. The record is from RNAcentral.
AUUCUGAAGACUGACUGAGCGUGGAAGUUGCUCAACAAAAAAAGGAACGGGUAUAUUGACAGAGUCUUGCUCUAUUGCCCAGGCUGCAACUGGUGUGAUCUCGGCUCACUACAACCUCUGCCUCCUGGGUUCAAGCGAUUCUCCUGCCUCAAGCUCCCAAGUAGCUGGGAUUACAAGCAUGCACCACCAUGCCUGGCUAAUUUUUGUAUUUUUAGUGGAGACGGGGUUUCGCCACAUUGGCCAGGGUGGUCUUGAACUCCUGACCUCAAGUGAUCCACCUGCCUUGGCCUCCCAAAGUGCUGGGAUUAUAAGCAUGAGCCACUGCACCCAGCCUUAUACUGAACUUUCAAUGGGUUCAAUUCCACUAGGAGCAUAAAGGCCACUGCAUAUGAGUUGUGGAAAGAAGAGAUUAGAAGAAGGAAGAACUUGAGAUGAGUUCCUCCCUUCAACAUUCUGUCUCCUCCUACCUAGCAUCUUCUUUCUUUUAGUCUUUCUAGAAUGUCCAUCUGUUUUUGGCCAUUGCGGAGAGAGAAGCUGAGCUUUAAAGGAGUAGGAGCUUCAAAGGCUUGCUGAGACAAAGGAAAACCCACUCCCUUGGAGGAGCAUGACCUUUUCCUGUAAUUCUUCCCACUGCUGUUGUUGAGCUCCUUGGAUCCUGGCUCCUGGACACCAUCAUCAAGAAGACUUUAUGGAUGGGCUGUCCACCCACUGAGAGAAGAGGAGCAUCAGCUACAGUUUCUCUCUAGAUUGCCUUCUUCAUUUUGAGUAAUGACUGUCAGCAGGGUCAGAUUAAACACAAAACAACUGGACAAUUGCUUGGAGGACUAAACUAUAAGGGCACUAACAUGUCAAUAGUAGGCUAACACAUCCAUGGAAAAUAUAUUUACCAGCUCUUCUCUCAGGGAGGAUUCUGUGUGGGGUUGGAAGUAAUGAUUUGUUAAAUUCCUUAGGGGUAGAAAGUAGGGCAUAAUCAGAAUAUAGAGGAAUAUGCUGUUUGACUUCAGGGUUUCUGUUUUUCUUACUAGGAUAUAUAAAACAGGGACUCUAGCUAGAUUGUUUAUGACCACAGAGGGUAGGCUGAGUGCUCCCAUGAUCUUCCUGCUUGGUUCUUGCCCAUACAGAGGUCAGCCUUUCCUCUAAUAAAGAUUGAACAAGUAG